AGGGCAUGACAAGGAAGAUGGCAUCAAAGGUCUCAUAAAUGGGAUUGAAGGAGAAGGAGAAAGGGAUGAAAAUUAUGGGGAGGAGGGGAUGGCUUGGAGGAAAAAGAUGAAGAGGAAGGGGAGGAGGAGAGAGGGGAUGGCUUAUGGGCGACUUGGAGGAGGAAGGAAAGGAGGGUGAGAAGUGAGUGAGAAGGAAAGAGAGAAGAGG
RNAcentral lists this long non-coding RNA (208 nucleotides) under Elaeis guineensis (African oil palm). RNAcentral describes it as "long non-coding RNA (EGUI_LNC014988)". The record is from RNAcentral. Lineage: Eukaryota; Viridiplantae; Streptophyta; Magnoliopsida; Arecales; Arecaceae.